GAGCCAUUUCCCAUGUCUCUCUGUUCUCCAAACCGCGAUGAAAUUUCAACCUGCCCAACACGAUUACUGGUCCACCUAGAAAUGCCGUGGAGCGAUUUAAGAGCCUCGGAAAUUUCCUUUAAGGUCAGGAGAGAAGCUGGUAACAGAUGGGGCGAAGGAGGAAAAGUUCUUUUUGCGGCACCCUCACGCCUUCCCAGCCCUUUCGCGGUUUACUCGCUCCCCGGAAAGCAGACUAGUCUCACUCUGUUGCCCAGGCUGGAGUGCAGUGGCGCGAUCUCAGCUUACUUCAGCCUCCGCCUCCCGGUUUCAAGUGAAUUCUCCAGCCUCAACUUCACAAGUAGCUGGGAUUACAGGGCAUUCAAGCAGCCCUGAGGAGAGGUCCACAUGGUGAGCCACUGAGGGCCUUGCCAAGAGCCAGCACCAACGGUCCAGGUUUGGAGUGUACCACCUUGGAAGUGAAUCUUCCAGUCCAGUCAAGCCUUCAGAUGACUUCAGAACCGUCCAUGUAAGCCACUCUUGGAUUCCUGACCCACAGAAACUGUUGGAGGCAUUAUCAACAGUUUCUAACAUCACAGACAGACAAACAUGUGCCUCCUGAUUGAAAAAACAGAACAUCACCUGUAGUCUUGCCAGUGAGAUCAAACUGAAGUCCAAUUAACCUCUGGAUCCAGCUGCCAAUUUGCAGGAAAUAGAGGAGAGAAGCAUCUGUUGAACUGCACCAUGAGUAUACACUCAGCAAAGGCCAAACUGUGGAAAAUGAUACAGGUCAAACAGCCUGGAUUCUUUAACAGUGAUGUUUCUGAAGCACCAAUGAAAAUGAAGUCCUGAAGUCCUGUGCUCAAUAUGAAAUGUUGGAAGUUAGAAGAAAAAAACAAAACUUGGAUCCAAUCUCAAGGCACUUUUUGUUUAAUGGGAAGAAGUGGAUUAUUUUAAAAGCUACAAAUAAAGUUACAUAAAAGUAGCAAA
Molecule: long non-coding RNA, 966 nt
Filed under: Homo sapiens (human)
Lineage: Eukaryota; Metazoa; Chordata; Mammalia; Primates; Hominidae
Description: HSALNT0212855
Source: RNAcentral